AAGUCGUAACAAGGUUUCCGUAGGUGAACCUGCGGAAGGAUCAUUACAAAACAAAAUCCAAACCACACCAAUGUGCUCUUAAUUGCAAAAGAAAAAUUGCAAGUCUUUGUGUGUGUUGUUGUUUGUUUGUUUGCUUGUGGGUGGGGGGAGAGAAAAAGUGGGGUCACACUUGCUUUUUUUUCUUCACUCACACACACACACACACACACAUGCACACACAAGCUUCUUUUUCUCUUUUGCAAGUCUUUGAUUUUCAAUUUUUCAUUAACUCCUUGUUUAACCAACAACGGAUUACAAUGUUAAAACUUGAAACAAAAACAAAAACAAAAUGACAACUUUUAACGGUGGAUCUCUUGGCUCGU
RNAcentral lists this unclassified non-coding RNA (362 nucleotides) under fungal sp. RNAcentral describes it as "partial internal transcribed spacer region". The stretch from base 1 to 46 matches the Rfam family "Eukaryotic small subunit ribosomal RNA", at positions 1786 to 1831 of the family's 1831-position model. Lineage: Eukaryota; Fungi. The record is from RNAcentral.